This 789-nucleotide ribosomal RNA is filed under the name uncultured archaeon. RNAcentral describes it as "bacterial SSU rRNA". It matches the Rfam family "Archaeal small subunit ribosomal RNA", at positions 85 to 879 of the family's 1478-position model. The record is from RNAcentral.
ACGGCUCAGUAACACGUGGACAACCUACCCUGAAGAGGGGGAUAACCCCGGGAAACUGGGGAUAAUACCCCAUAGGCUAUGGAUGCUGGAAUGCUCUGUAGUUGAAAGGUCCGCCGCUUCAGGAUGGGUCUGCGGCCGAUUAGGUUGUUGUUGGGGUAACGGCCCAACAAGCCUGUAAUCGGUACGGGUUGUGGGAGCAAGAGCCCGGAGAUGGAUUCUGAGACACGAAUCCAGGCCCUACGGGGCGCAGCAGGCGCGAAAACUUUGCAAUGCGAGCAAUCGUGACAAGGGAACUCCGAGUGCCUGUAAAAUCAGGCUGUCCGCCAGUGUAAAUAACUGGCGAAGAAAGGGCCGGGCAAGACCGGUGCCAGCCGCCGCGGUAAUACCGGCGGCUCGAGUGGUGGCCACUAUUACUGGGCUUAAAGCGUUCGUAGCUGGCUUGUUAAGUCUCUGGGGAAAUCUUCCGGCUUAACCGGAAGGCGUCUCAGGGAUACUGGCAGGCUAGGGACCGGAAGAGGUGAGAGGUACUCCAGGGGUAGGAGCGAAAUCCUGUAGUCCUUGGGGGACCACCUGUGGCGAAGGCGUCUCACCAGAACGGCUCCGACAGUGAGGAACGAAAGCUGGGGGAGCAAACCGGAUUAGAUACCCGGGUAGUCCCAGCUGUAAACGAUGCGCGUUAGGUGUAUCGGUGACCACGAGUCACCGAGGUGCCGAAGAGAAAUCGUGAAACGUGCCGCCUGGGAAGUACGGUCGCAAGGCUGAAACUUAAAGGAAUUGGCGGGGGAGCAC